AUGGCAAAGUACUGGUGGUCGAGUUCGAUUGAUAAAAGGGCUCUCCACUGGCUGUCUUGGGACAAACUGGCGUCACCAAAAAUCAAGGGCGGGAUGGGUUUCAAGGAUCUUCCACUAUUCAAUCUAGCUAUGCUUGGCAAGCAAGGGUGGCGUCUUCUGACACAUCCAAACUCCCUUUGUGCUCGUGUGCUGAAGGGGAAGUACUACCCCAACAUAGAUUUUCUUCAUGCUACUGUUCCGGCAAUGGCCUCGAUGACGUGGAAGGCCAUUGUGGCGGGCAGAGAAGCAUUGAAGCAGGGGCUGAUCCAUAGGAUAGGCGACGGCAUAAGUAUAUCAACUUGGACUGAUCCAUGGAUACCCAAUACUACAACUCUGGAACCUAGGGGACGACUGGGGUCUGCACCAUUAUCGCAUGUUUCAGAUUUGAUAGAUCAAUAUACAGGAACGUGGAACAUUGAACUAGUAUGGCAAAAUUUUCUCCAUCCAGAUGCAUUCUCAACAUCCCUUUGA
RNAcentral lists this ribosomal RNA (510 nucleotides) under Triticum aestivum (bread wheat). Its description in RNAcentral is "partial small subunit ribosomal RNA". Lineage: Eukaryota; Viridiplantae; Streptophyta; Magnoliopsida; Poales; Poaceae. The record is from RNAcentral.